GAUGAACGCUGGCGGCGUGCCUAAUACAUGCAAGUCGAGCGAACAGAUGAGGAGCUUGCUCCUCUGACGUUAGCGGCGGACGGGUGAGUAACACGUGGAUAACCUACCUAUAAGACUGGGAUAACUUCGGGAAACCGGAGCUAAUACCGGAUAAUAUAUUGAACCGCAUGGUUCAAUAGUGAAAGACGGUUUUGCUGUCACUUAUAGAUGGAUCCGCGCCGCAUUAGCUAGUUGGUAAGGUAACGGCUUACCAAGGCAACGAUGCGUAGCCGACCUGAGAGGCUGAUCGGCCACACUGGAACUUAGACGCGGUCCAGACUCCUACGGGAGGCAGCAGUAGGGAAUCUUCCGCAAAGGGCGAAAGCCUGACGGAGCGACGCCGCGUGAGUGAUGAAGGUCUUCGGAUCGUAAAACUCUGUUAUUAGGGAAGAACAAAUGUGUAAGUAACUAUGCACGUCUUGACGGUACCUAAUCAGAAAGCCACGGCUAACUACGUG
RNAcentral lists this ribosomal RNA (497 nucleotides) under uncultured bacterium. RNAcentral's name for it is "partial 16S ribosomal RNA". It matches the Rfam family "Bacterial small subunit ribosomal RNA", at positions 28 to 507 of the family's 1533-position model. The record is from RNAcentral.